UACGUAGGGGGCAAGCGUUGUCCGGAUUUAUUGGGCGUAAAGGGCGCGUAGGCGGUUUCUUAAGUUUGAAGUGACAGUGGGUGGCUUAACUACCCAAGGCCUUUGAAAACUGGGGAACUUGAGGACCAGAGAGGGACAUAGAAUUCCGGGUGGAGUGGUGAAAUGCGUAGAUAUCCGGAGGAAUACCAAAGGCGAAGGCAGUGUCCUGGAGGGUUAACUGACGCUGAGGCGCGAAAGCUAGGGGGGCGAACAGG
This 254-nucleotide ribosomal RNA is filed under the name uncultured bacterium. Its description in RNAcentral is "partial 16S ribosomal RNA". It matches the Rfam family "Bacterial small subunit ribosomal RNA", at positions 524 to 776 of the family's 1533-position model. The record is from RNAcentral.